AUCCAUUUGAUAAUGAAACCAGGAACAGUGUGCGACUGACUGUCCGAGAGUACUUAAUCAGUGUUUUGCAUAGACGCAUAGCCAAUAUGCAAGUUACAGUAACUCUACUUUUUUGUGUACUAAUUUCUAUCGUUCACUGCAGUCCUUAUAAUGGUCUACAUAUACCAUCGGAGUGUGUCGACAACCCUUUUUUUUCGGACUGCAGUCUUGUUGUGAGAAGUAAAUUUUGUAACCACAAAUUUUAUUCAACAUAUUGCUGCGAAUCGUGUACAACAGCGGGUCAACUCGACCCCGUGGGCAACCUACGACAGCCUAUUAGUGAUUAUUAUUAGAAUUAGUGUUUUUGUUAACUUAUUUGUAGUGUUUCCACGUUCACUGUGCAGCUAUGAUGAGAUUACCCCAUAAAGGUGCUUAUCCACCAGAGAUAUCCGAGGAUGCGUAGCGAGGAAUGUGUUUUAUCGCAUCAAACGCUAAUUAAUUAAGCCACAAUUAAGCUAUAUGAUUGGUUCUUUACAAACACAUCCUCGCACAUCUCUGUUGGAAACGCAGUCUAAGUGUAAACACAAAUUGUUAUGUUUUUAUUGCCCCCCGGGUUGUUGCGAAAUAUUUUUUCUUUGUUCUUGUUCACACGAGUAAGAGGUGAUUUUAAUUUUUCGAACAACGUAUGACCUAUUCGUGGCCCGUGGGUGCACGUGUGAUUUAUUAUUCGAUCUGAUGACCGAUGGGGUCAUGCAGUGAACGUGUGAUAAUUAGAACGUAGUUGUAUGAAUAGAUAUGUAGAUUUAUGUCUCAUCGUCACUCGCAUUCUAUGUAUUUUUAUAUAUGAAUCUGUGAACUAGUAUCGCCGAAUACUUACUUUUUAAAUCGUAUUUGAGAUUGUAUAGAAAAUAUAAAUAUGUAACCAAUUGGUAUAAUUAUGUGUUUUAUACUAUUCUUCUAAAUAAAUUUCCUAGAAUGUCCUAUUCAAUUUUAUGUAGACAAAUUGUAAUGAAGUACAUAAUUAACUUUAAGUGACUGUAAUGCACUAUGUGUAAAAUGUUAUUUUGGUCUAUAAUUAGGAGAGAUUAGUAUUGAAAUAAAACAAAAUAUGCAGUAA
Molecule: long non-coding RNA, 1096 nt
Organism: Colias croceus (clouded yellow)
Lineage: Eukaryota; Metazoa; Arthropoda; Insecta; Lepidoptera; Pieridae
Exons: 3
Source: RefSeq, a predicted model, not a curated record